UUCUCCUUGCUCGGUGGGUGGGUCGCCGCUCCGCGCGGCGACCCGGGGAUUGCUGACCAGGGGGACGUCUCAGACGGCGUCGAGGAGGGA
This 90-nucleotide transfer RNA is filed under the name Streptomyces cirratus. RNAcentral's name for it is "tRNA-Arg". The record is from RNAcentral. Lineage: Bacteria; Bacillati; Actinomycetota; Actinomycetes; Kitasatosporales; Streptomycetaceae.